GAUGAACGCUGGCGGCGUGCCUAAUACAUGCAAGUCGAGCGAACAGACGAGGAGCUUGCUCCUUUGACGUUAGCGGCGGACGGGUGAGUAACGCGUGGGUAACCUACCUAUAAGACUGGGAUAACUUCGGGAAACCGGAGCUAAUACCGGAUAAUAUUUCGAACCGCAUGGUUCGAUAGUGAAAGAUGGCUCUGCUAUCACUUAUAGAUGGACCUGCGCCGUAUUAGCUAGUUGGUAAGGUAACGGCUUACCAAGGCAACGAUACGUAGCCGACCUGAGAGGGUGAUCGGCCACACUGGAACUGAGACACGGUCCAGACUCCUACGGGAGGCAGCAGUAGGGAAUCUUCCGCAAUGGGCGAAAGCCUGACGGAGCAACGCCGCGUGAGUGAUGAAGGUCUUCGGAUCGUAAAACUCUGUUAUUAGGGAAGAACAAACGUGUAAGUAACUGUGCACGUCUUGACGGUACCUAAUCAGAAAGCCACGGCUAACUACGUG
Molecule: ribosomal RNA, 497 nt
Filed under: uncultured bacterium
Lineage: Bacteria
Description: partial 16S ribosomal RNA
Rfam family: Bacterial small subunit ribosomal RNA
Source: RNAcentral